AACGCACGAGACCUGCGGACCUGCGGAGGGAUCAUUAAUGAGAAGCUGCCCCUCGUGGGUAGACCUCCCACCCUCUGUGAACUUACCUUUGUUGCUUUGGCAGGCCCGUCCUCUGGACCGCCGGCUUCGGCUGGCCCGUGCCUGCCAGAGGAUUCCAAACCCUGUCUGUCAGUGUUGUCUGGGUCUAUAUGAAAUCGUUAAAACUUUCAACAACGGAUCUCUAGAUCGGAAGAGCACACG
This 240-nucleotide unclassified non-coding RNA is filed under the name soil metagenome. Its description in RNAcentral is "partial contains 5.8S ribosomal RNA, internal transcribed spacer 2, and large subunit ribosomal RNA". The record is from RNAcentral.